Molecule: ribosomal RNA, 1026 nt
Filed under: Triticum aestivum (bread wheat)
Lineage: Eukaryota; Viridiplantae; Streptophyta; Magnoliopsida; Poales; Poaceae
Description: partial small subunit ribosomal RNA
Source: RNAcentral
AUGGCGAUCAUCAUCUUCCUGGAUUCGCCGGUCUGCUCAGGCUUCUCGUAUGCUCGUGACCCCAAAGGCUGCGAUGUCACAGAUUACUUGUCCUCUCUGCAAGUCCAAAGAUUCCUGAACAAGUGGUUCACUGACCACCCACAGUACCUUUCAAAUCCUUUCUACCUUGGAGGAGAUUCUUUUUCGAUAAAGGACAUUUCAUUGAAUAGAUAUAUCGAGGGCAAAGAAGAGUGUAGGAUCCUCAUGAUGUUUCUCCUUUUUUGUGUUAAUGCAAUUUAUUUCCAAGGCUACCUGAUCGGCAAUCCUAUAACAGACCCAAAGUUUGAUAACAAUUUCCAAGUUCAAGGGGCUCAUGGCUUUGGGAUAAUAUCUGACCAAAUAUAUGAGGCUGCAAUGAAGAACUGCAAAGGAAAUUAUGUAAACCCCGCGAAUCAACUGUGUGCUGAGGUGCUAGAAACUGUAGACAGUGUAAGAUUCAUGUGCUGGCAUUUUUUUCGUGAACUUAUGCUAUUCUCAACAUGGGCUAAUGAGCAUCCCUUUUGCUACAGCUCAUUUCUGAAAUCGCAGAUGCACACGUCCUGUACAAAAAAUACAUACGAUUACUACCUGGCAUACUUCUGGAUGAACAACAAGAUGACUAGAGAAGCUCUCGAGAUCAAGGGGGGAACAGUUGGCGAGUGGGUGAGAUGCAAAAAAGAACUCCCCUACACACAGGACAUGCCAAGCAGCAUACCAUACCAUCUUAAUCCCACCACGAGAGGUUACCGUGCACUCGUGUACAGCGGAGACCAUGAUCUCCAGGUGCCUCAGCUCAGCACGCAGGCGUGGAUAAGAUCUUUGAACUUCUCCAUCGCCGAUGACUGGAGGGCAUGGCAUCUCGAUGGCCAGGCUGCAGGAUUUACCAUCACAUAUGCAAAUAAAUUGACCUUUGCAACAGUAAAGGGUGGAGGUCAUACUGCUCCAGAGUACCAGUCUGAAGAAUGCUUUGCCAUGGCCCAAAGGUGGCUUGACAACAAGCCACUCUGA